GGAUUCCCCUAGUAGAGGCUGAGCGAAGCGGAAGAGCUCAAAUUUAUAAUCGUCUCGUGCACCUUUCGGUGUCCGAGUGGUAAUCUCUAGAAAUAUUUUCCGCGCUGGACCGCACACAACUCUGUUGGAAUACAGAGGCAUACUGGUGAGACCCCCGUACAUGGUGCGGAUGCCCAGCGCUUUGUGAUACAUUUUCGAACAGUCCAGUUGUUUGGGAAUGCAGCUCAAAUUGGGUGGUAAAUUCCAUCUAAAGCUAAAUAUCGGCAAGAGACCGAUACCCAACAAGUACCCUGAGGGAAAGAUGAAAAGCACUUUGGAAACAAAGUUAACAGUACGUGAAAUUGUUGGAAGGGAAACGCUUGAAAUCAGACCUGCUUGCCGAGCGAUCGGUCUGCAAGCCACCGGAUCAGUUUUCCAGGAUGCAUAAUGGUACAGACAAAGUAGCAUGUUCUCGGCUGUGUUAAAGCUCUCUACUGGAUACAUCUCGGGGAACUGAGGAACGCAGUGUGCCUUACGGCAGGGGCUUCGACCUC
This 533-nucleotide ribosomal RNA is filed under the name Rhodotorula sp. 6 GAMM-2015. RNAcentral describes it as "eukaryotic LSU rRNA". It matches the Rfam family "Eukaryotic large subunit ribosomal RNA", at positions 72 to 504 of the family's 3401-position model. The record is from RNAcentral. Lineage: Eukaryota; Fungi; Basidiomycota; Microbotryomycetes; Sporidiobolales; Sporidiobolaceae.